Molecule: microRNA, 21 nt
Filed under: Solanum tuberosum (potato)
Lineage: Eukaryota; Viridiplantae; Streptophyta; Magnoliopsida; Solanales; Solanaceae
Description: stu-miR169d-3p
Gene: stu-miR169d-3p
Source: miRBase by way of RNAcentral
GCAGGUCAUCUUUAGCUAACU